GGUUGUGGCUCAGUGGUAGAGCACUUGCCUCCCACAUGUGAGGCAUGGGUGCAAUCCUCAGAACCA
This 66-nucleotide transfer RNA is filed under the name Marmota monax (woodchuck). Its description in RNAcentral is "tRNA.Gly". The record is from RNAcentral. Lineage: Eukaryota; Metazoa; Chordata; Mammalia; Rodentia; Sciuridae.